Molecule: non-coding RNA, 21 nt
Organism: Caenorhabditis elegans
Lineage: Eukaryota; Metazoa; Nematoda; Chromadorea; Rhabditida; Rhabditidae
Source: Ensembl
UAGAAACUCUAUCUCAGAUAA